AUGAAACUCUUGUCUGUAGGUGUCACGGUCAGAGAGGUUCUGUGCCCUCCCCAGCCCUGGCACUGCUGGUGUUCACCCGUGCCAUCUUACAGAUCUCUUUUCUCCCCAAACUUGCUUCUCUGCCCGACCGCAUGUCCCUGGUGCCGGUGGCCCUGCACGGGGAGGUGUCACGGAGGGGUGAGGUGCUGCAGGGCACCACUCAGUUCUCUCCUUCCUCUCUCAGCCUUCUCCCCGGUUCUCCCGGGCUGUGUCCCCUUCAGCGUGGGGGUCACAGAGCCCCCACAAAGCUUCCUUCAUCAGGCAGGGGCUCAGGAGAGGCCACUUUUCCCCCGUGUGCAUUUUCUGGCUUCUCCUUCCCCACCUGAGCUGUGUCACGGUCAGAGCAGCCCGGGGGUCCCAGGCACAGAGCUGCCAGGGGACACUUCUCGUGUGGCAGGGCCAGGGCUGGGGUGCCAUCCUCAUGUCCCAAACCCAAGGGACCUCCUCUUGCCUCCCCUGCCUCCCCGCACACAUCCCCCCCGUGAGCCACCAGGUGCUGGGGAGUGUCUGGAAUCCAGUUUAUUAACAGUAAAAAAUUGCAGAUUUUUGUUCUUUCUCCCUCUUCACCUGCUUUCGCCCCAAAGCAAAACAGCUGCAGCUUCCCAGAGACUUCCCGGUCUCCUCCGACGGCGUCGAGGGCUCACAACCCCACAGCUGCUCUGGGGAGCAAAAUUCCAGUUAACCCCUGGUUUGGCAGUGGCUCCCCUGCCUGUGACCCACCAGUCAGACCAGUCACAGCCUGGCUUGAGUCCAGCUCUUUGCCAACAUCUCCUCGGGCUCUCUGCUCACGCUGGUCUCCUGCGGAGGGGUGUUGGUGGGAGGGGCAGGACCUGGGACCUCUGUAUCCCAGUCUGCGUCCCUCCUGUCUGCACUGAGCUCCAGCCUGGGCAGGUGGUUUGCAGGAAUCAGGGCACCUCAAGGUCCCGUGUCUGGCUGGUGGGAGCAGGUCCCUGCCAGCCUCACGCCGUGGGGUCAACGUGCUGCCCCGUCCCUGUGCGCCAUCACUCAGGGUCAGGGGUCUGGCUGCUUCCGGUUGGGGUUUUUGCCCUCUCCAGCAGAGAAAUGCAGAAUUGUGAUGUGAGCCCUCCCAGCUGUGACUGCAGUGAAGAGCUUCUUCCUCAGGGAUGA
This 1167-nucleotide long non-coding RNA is filed under the name Calidris pugnax (ruff). Its description in RNAcentral is "lncRNA (ENSCPUG00000009364.1)". The record is from RNAcentral. Lineage: Eukaryota; Metazoa; Chordata; Aves; Charadriiformes; Scolopacidae.